RNAcentral lists this unclassified non-coding RNA (155 nucleotides) under uncultured Chaetothyriales. Its description in RNAcentral is "sequence contains ITS2". Lineage: Eukaryota; Fungi; Ascomycota; Eurotiomycetes; Chaetothyriales. The record is from RNAcentral.
UCACAGUAUCAAGCCUGGCUUGUUGUUGGGCCCUUUGUCACCUGGUGACAGGUCCGAAAGACAAUGGCCGGUGGAACAGACUCCACAUGCAACGAGCUGACCACAGCACGCAUCUGGCAGUUGUGUGACCCGGUUUUACACCCCUUCUUUCUCUA